This 202-nucleotide long non-coding RNA is filed under the name Gossypium raimondii (Peruvian cotton). Its description in RNAcentral is "long non-coding RNA (GRAI_LNC010329)". The record is from RNAcentral. Lineage: Eukaryota; Viridiplantae; Streptophyta; Magnoliopsida; Malvales; Malvaceae.
AUUUAGAUUUAUGGUGCUUGAUUAAAAUAUUUUAUGAUGUUAACACUGGAAAUUUUAAUGGAAAGCUGCGUUAUGCUAUUUUACAGCUAUUAGUGGGGUGACAGGAGAACUUCUAGAGCAGAAUGCUCAUGCCUUCAAUCAAAUAUCUGCAAAUCUUGCAGCUUUUCAGGUGAACUACCGAUGAAAGCACUUAGAAAGCAGU